AGAACGAACGCUGGCGGCAUGCCUAACACAUGCAAGUCGAACGCUCACCGGGCUUCGGUUCGGUGGGAGUGGCGCACGGGUGAGUAGCGCGUGGGAACCUGCCCUGUUGUGGGGGAUAACCGAGGGAAACUUCGGCUAAUACCGCAUGCGCCCGGGGAAACCCGGGGAAAGAUUUAUCGCAGCAGGAGGGGCCCGCGUCGGAUUAGGUAGUUGGUAGGGUAACGGCCUACCAAGCCUUUGAUCCGUAGCUGGUCUGAGAGGAUGAUCAGCCACACUGGGACUGAGACACGGCCCAGACUCCUACGGGAGGCAGCAGUGGGGAAUAUUGGACAAUGGGCGCAAGCCUGAUCCAGCAAUGCCGCGUGAGUGAUGAAGGCCUUAGGGUUGUAAAGCUCUUUCGCCCGCGACGAUGAUGACGGUAGCGGGAGAAGAGCCCGGCUAACUUCGUGCCAGCAGCCGC
Molecule: ribosomal RNA, 460 nt
Filed under: uncultured bacterium
Lineage: Bacteria
Description: SSU rRNA
Rfam family: Bacterial small subunit ribosomal RNA
Source: RNAcentral